RNAcentral lists this ribosomal RNA (1203 nucleotides) under Triticum aestivum (bread wheat). RNAcentral's name for it is "partial small subunit ribosomal RNA". The record is from RNAcentral. Lineage: Eukaryota; Viridiplantae; Streptophyta; Magnoliopsida; Poales; Poaceae.
AUGUGCAAGAACAGGGGUUUGAGUGUAUGCAACAACAAAAAAUUCGACAACGGGUUGGGUGCCCGACAGUCCCGACGAUGGCACCGGAGACGCGUCCGCAGCCGAGUUCGGUCCGCGCAGGAACCGGCGAAGUUGCAGUACAGGAAGCUGGGAGAUUCAGAUCUCCUUAUCAGCGAGAUAACUCUUGGAACAAUGACCUUUGGAGAACAAAGCACAGAGAAGGAAUCACAUGAUAUGAUAUCUUAUUCUUUUGAUCAGGGCAUCAACAUACUCGACACCGCAGAAAUUUACCCAAUUCAACCCAAGGAGGAGACUCAAGGAAGGACUGAUCUAUAUGUAGGCAGGUGGAUGAAAUCCAAGCCACGAGAUAAAGUAAUUUUGGCCACCAAAGUUUCUGGUUAUUCAGAUCGCACUUUUCUUCGGGACAAUGCAGAAAUGGUGCGUGUUGAUGCUCCAAAUAUAAAGGAAAGUGUCGAAAAGAGCCUUUCACGCUUAUCUACAGACUACAUUGAUUUGCUUCACAUACACUGGCCAGAUAGGUAUGUGGCACUAUAUGGCGAAUUCAGUUAUGAUUCAACUAAAUGGAGGCCAAGCGUCCCAUUUGAGGAUCAGUUGAAAGCUCUUCAGGAACUAAUUGAUGAAGGAAAGGUACGAUACAUCGGCGUUUCCAAUGAAACCUCGUACGGGGUAAUGCGGUUUGUACAGGCUGCAAAGCUUCAUGGACUUCCGAAGAUUGUGAGCAUCCAGAACGGUUACAGUCUACUUGUGAGAUGCAGCUUCGAAGUUGAUCUUGCUGAGGUUUGCCACCCAAACAACUGCAACAUUGGGCUGCUCGCCUACUCCCCGCUCGGCAGCGGUGUUCUGACCGGAAAGUAUCUGGAUGAUAGCUGUGGCAACAGCAAGAGUUUCAGGCUAAAUCUCUUCCCUGGAUACAUGCAGCGCUACAACGCCCCUCUGGCUAAGGAAGCAACGAAGGAAUACCUCAAGGUCGCGAAGAAGCAUCGGCUAACUCCGGUCCAGCUUGCCCUGGGCUUCGUCCGUGACCGCCCAUUCACAGCUAGCACCAUCAUCGGAGCGACCACCAUGGAUCAGCUGAAGGAGAACAUCGAAGCGUUCACCAGCGCUCCACGGCCUCUGCCGCCACAAGUUCUUGAUGACAUUGCGACUGUUUUCAAGAGAUACAGAGACCCAGCAGUCCUCUAG